Molecule: ribosomal RNA, 482 nt
Filed under: uncultured bacterium
Lineage: Bacteria
Description: partial 16S ribosomal RNA
Rfam family: Bacterial small subunit ribosomal RNA
Source: RNAcentral
GAUGAAUGCUGGCGGCGCGCCUAACACAUGCAAGUCGAACGAGCGAGAGAGAGCUUGCUUUCUCGAGCGAGUGGCGAACGGGUGAGUAACGCGUGAGGAACCUGCCUCAAAGAGGGGGACAACAGUUGGAAACGACUGCCAAUACCGCAUAAGCCCACGGGUCGGCAUCGACCAGAGGGAAAAGGAGCAAUCCGCUUUGAGAUGGCCUCGCGUCCGAUUAGCUAGUUGGUGAGGUAACGGCCCACAAAGGCGACGAUCGGUAGCCGGACUGAGAGGUUGAACGGCCACAUUGGGACUGAGACACGGCCCAGACUCCUACGGGAGGCAGCAGUGGGGAAUAUUGCACAAUGGGGGAAACCCUGAUGCAGCGACGCCGCGUGGAGGAAGAAGGUCUUCGGAUUGUAAACUCCUGUUGUUGAGGAAGAUAAUGACGGUACUCAACAAGGAAGUGACGGCUAACUACGUGCCAGCAGCCGCCGUAA